Molecule: ribosomal RNA, 655 nt
Filed under: uncultured Glomus
Lineage: Eukaryota; Fungi; Glomeromycota; Glomeromycetes; Glomerales; Glomeraceae
Description: SSU rRNA
Rfam family: Eukaryotic small subunit ribosomal RNA
Source: RNAcentral
GGGUAACGGGGUGUUAGGGCACGACACCGGAGAGGGAGCCUGAGAAACGGCUACCACAUCCAAGGAAGGCAGCAGGCGCGCAAAUUACCCAAUCCCGACAUGGGGAGGUAGUGACAAUAAAUAACAAUACAGGGUUCUUUUGGAUCUUGUAAUUGGAAUGAGUACAAUUUAAAUCUCUUAACGAGGAACAAUUGGAGGGCAAGUCUGGUGCCAGCAGCCGCGGUAAUUCCAGCUCCAAUAGCGUAUAUUAAAGUUGUUGCAGUUAAAAAGCUCGUAGUUGAAUUUCGGGAUCAAGGAAUCGGUCAUGCCUUGGUAUGUACUUGGUUUUAUUGGUUCUCACCUUCUAAAGAACCAUAAUGUCAUUUAUUUGAUGUUAUGGGGAAUUAGGACUGUUACCUUGAAAAAAUUAGAGUGUUUAAAGCAAGCUUACGCUUGAAUACAUUGGCAUGGAAUAAUGAAAUAGGACAUCCGAUUCUAUUUUGUUGGUUUCUAGGAUCGAUGUAAUGAUUAAUAGGGAUAGUUGGGGGCAUUAGUAUUCAAUUGUCAGAGGUGAAAUUCUUGGAUUUAUUGAAGACUAACUACUGCGAAAGCAUUUGCCAAGGAUGUUUUCAUUAAUCAAGAACGAAAGUUAGGGGAUCGAAGACGAUCAGAUACC